Molecule: transfer RNA, 74 nt
Filed under: Apaloderma vittatum (bar-tailed trogon)
Lineage: Eukaryota; Metazoa; Chordata; Aves; Trogoniformes; Trogonidae
Rfam family: tRNA
About the family: Transfer RNA (tRNA) molecules are approximately 80 nucleotides in length. Their secondary structure includes four short double-helical elements and three loops (D, anti-codon, and T loops).
Source: Rfam by way of RNAcentral
GGGCGGUUAGCUCAUUCAGUUAGAGCGUGGUGCUGAUAAAACCAAGGUUACGGGUUCGAUCCCCGUAUGGGCCA